GAUGAACGCUGGCGGCGUGCCUAAUACAUGCAAGUCGAGCGAACAGACGAGGAGCUUGCUCCUCUGACGUUAGCGGCGGACGGGUGAGUAACACGUGGAUAACCUACCUAUAAGACUGGGAUAACUUCGGGAAACCGGAGCUAAUACCGGAUAAUAUAUUGAACCGCAUGGUUCAAUAGUGAAAGACGGUUUUGCUGUCACUUAUAGAUGGAUCCGCGCCGCAUUAGCUAGUUGGUAAGGUAACGGCUUACCAAGGCGACGAUGCGUAGCCGACCUGAGAGGGUGAUCGGCCACACUGGAACUGAGACACGGUCCAGACUCCUACGGGAGGCAGCAGUAGGGAAUCUUCCGCAAAGGGCGAAAGCCUGACGGAGCAACGCCGCGUGAGUGAUGAAGGUCUUCGGAUCGUAAAACUCUGUUAUUAGGGAAGAACAAAUGUGUAAGUAACUAUGCACGUCUUGACGGUACCUAAUCAGAAAGCCACGGCUAACUACAUG
RNAcentral lists this ribosomal RNA (497 nucleotides) under uncultured bacterium. RNAcentral describes it as "partial 16S ribosomal RNA". It matches the Rfam family "Bacterial small subunit ribosomal RNA", at positions 28 to 507 of the family's 1533-position model. The record is from RNAcentral.